AUUGAACGCUGGCGGCAUGCCUUACACAUGCAAGUCGAACGGCAGCACGGAGCUUGCUCUGGUGGCGAGUGGCGAACGGGUGAGUAAUAUAUCGGAACGUACCCUAGAGCGGGGGAUAACGUAGCGAAAGUUACGCUAAUACCGCAUACGAUCUAAGGAUGAAAGUGGGGGAUCGCAAGACCUCAUGCUCGUGGAGCGGCCGAUAUCUGAUUAGCUAGUUGGUAGGGUAAAAGCCUACCAAGGCAUCGAUCAGUAGCUGGUCUGAGAGGACGACCAGCCACACUGGAACUGAGACACGGUCCAGACUCCUACGGGAGGCAGCAGUGGGGAAUUUUGGACAAUGGGCGAAAGCCUGAUCCAGCAAUGCCGCGUGAGUGAAGAAGGCCUUCGGGUUGUAAAGCUCUUUUGUCAGGGAAGAAACGGUGAGAGCUAAUAUCUCUUGCUAAUGACGGUACCUGAAGAAUAAGCACCGGCUAACUACGUGCCAGCAGCCGCGGUAAUACGUAGGGUGCAAGCGUUAAUCGGAAUUACUGGGCGUAAAGCGUGCGCAGGCGGUUUUGUAAGUCUGAUGUGAAAUCCCCGGGCUCAACCUGGGAAUUGCAUUGGAGACUGCAAGGCUAGAAUCUGGCAGAGGGGGGUAGAAUUCCACGUGUAGCAGUGAAAUGCGUAAAUAUUUGGAAGAACACCGAUGGCGAAGGCAGCCCCCUGGGGUCAAGAUUGACGCUCAUGCCCGAAAGCGUGGGGAGCAAACAGGAUUAGAUACCCUGGUAGUCCACGCCCUAAACGAUGUCUACUAGUUGUCGGGUCUUAAUUGACUUGGUAACGCAGCUAACGCGUGAAGUGGACCGCCUGGGGAGUACGGUCGCAAGAUUAAAACUCAAAGGAAUUGACGGGGACCCGCACAAGCGGUGGAUGAUGUGGAUUAAUUCGAUGCAACGCGAAAAACCUUACCUACCCUUGACAUGGCUGGAAUCCCCGAGAGAUUGGGGAGUGCUCGAAAGAGAACCAGUACACAGGUGCUGCAUGGCUGUCGUCAGCUCGUGUCGUGAGAUGCUGGGUUAGGUCCCGCAACGAGCGCAGCCCUUGUCAUUAGUUGCUACGAAAGGGCACUCUAAUGAGACUGCCGGUGACAAACCGGAGGAAGGUGGGGAUGACGUCAAGUCCUCAUGGCCCUUAUGGGUAGGGCUUCACACGUCAUACAAUGGUACAUACAGAGCGCCGCCAACCCGCGAGGGGGAGCUAAUCGCAGAAAGUGUAUCGUAGUCCGGAUUGUAGUCUGCAACUCGACUGCAUGAAGUUGGAAUCGCUAGUAAUCGCGGAUCAGCAUGUCGCGGUGAAUACGUUCCCGGGUCU
RNAcentral lists this ribosomal RNA (1353 nucleotides) under uncultured bacterium. RNAcentral's name for it is "bacterial SSU rRNA". It matches the Rfam family "Bacterial small subunit ribosomal RNA", at positions 28 to 1381 of the family's 1533-position model. The record is from RNAcentral.